RNAcentral lists this unclassified non-coding RNA (252 nucleotides) under Hevea brasiliensis (rubber tree). The record is from RNAcentral. Lineage: Eukaryota; Viridiplantae; Streptophyta; Magnoliopsida; Malpighiales; Euphorbiaceae.
GCCACGCAAGACAUGCCUGGAAGCAAUCCCAAGCACCAAACUGAAUCCAAAAAAAAUGACGGCGUCUGCUGGAUUGGAAUUCUCAGAAGAAGAAGAAGAAGAAGAAGAAGGAGAAGAGCUAUCCUGAGCCAAAAUUCUGUACGGAAACUGACCCUCGAUCACAGUCGCCAUUGAGUUUCAGUUGAAGAGGGUUCCCUCACAGAGGGAGACGUAACCAAAAAAGGUAAAAAGAUAGAACGCUAUCGUUGGUCG